GCUGCUAUAGUAAAAUUGGUAGACACACUACUCUUAAGAAGCAGUGCUAAAGCAUCUCGGUUUGAGUCCUAGUAGCGGCA
RNAcentral lists this transfer RNA (80 nucleotides) under Glycine max (soybean). It matches the Rfam family "tRNA". From Rfam's summary of the family: Transfer RNA (tRNA) molecules are approximately 80 nucleotides in length. Their secondary structure includes four short double-helical elements and three loops (D, anti-codon, and T loops). The record is from Rfam by way of RNAcentral. Lineage: Eukaryota; Viridiplantae; Streptophyta; Magnoliopsida; Fabales; Fabaceae.